AGUGAACGCUGGCGGUAGGCCUAACACAUGCAAGUCGAACGGCAGCACAGUAAGAGCUUGCUCUUACGGGUGGCGAGUGGCGGACGGGUGAGGAAUACAUCGGAAUCUACUUUUUCGUGGGGGAUAACGUAGGGAAACUUACGCUAAUACCGCAUACGACCUACGGGUGAAAGCAGGGGAUCUUCGGACCUUGCGCGAUUGAAUGAGCCGAUGUCGGAUUAGCUAGUUGGCGGGGUAAAGGCCCACCAAGGCGACGAUCCGUAGCUGGUCUGAGAGGGUGAUCAGCGACUCAGGAGGUGAGACACGGCCCAGACUCCUAGGGGAGGCAGAGGUGGGGAAUAUUGGACAAUGGGCGCAAGCCUGAUCCAGCCAUACCGCGUGGGUGAAGAAGGCCUUCGGGUUGUAAAGCCCUUUUGUUGGGAAAGAAAAGCAGCAGGUUAAUACCCCGCUGUUCUGACGGUACCCAAAGAAUAAGCACCGGCUAACUUCGU
RNAcentral lists this ribosomal RNA (491 nucleotides) under uncultured bacterium. Its description in RNAcentral is "partial 16S ribosomal RNA". It matches the Rfam family "Bacterial small subunit ribosomal RNA", at positions 29 to 506 of the family's 1533-position model. The record is from RNAcentral.